This 440-nucleotide ribosomal RNA is filed under the name uncultured bacterium. Its description in RNAcentral is "partial 16S ribosomal RNA". It matches the Rfam family "Bacterial small subunit ribosomal RNA", at positions 338 to 795 of the family's 1533-position model. The record is from RNAcentral.
CCCACGGGAGACAGCAGUGGGGGAUAUUGCACAAUGGGGGAAACCCUGAUGCAGCGACGCCGCGUGUGGGAAGACGGUCUUCUGGAUUGUAAACCACUGUCCCCAGGGACGAAAAUGACGGUACCUGGGGAGGAAGCUCCGGCUAACUACGUGCCAGCAGCCGCGGUAAUACGUAUGGAGCAAGCGUUGUCCGGAAUUACUGGGUGUAAAGGGAGCGUAGGCGGGGAUGCAAGUUGGGUGUCAAAACUACCGGCUCAACCGAUAGUCGCACUCAAAACUGCAACUCUUGAGUGAAGUAGAGGCAGGCGGAAGUCCGAGUGUAGCGGUGAAAUGCGUAGAUAUUAGGAGGAACACCAGUGGCGAAGGCGGCCUGCUGGGCUUUUACUGACGCUGAGGCUCGAAAGUGUGGGGAGCAAACAGGAUUAGAUACCCCAGUAGUC